UGCAUCUGCAGCCCAUGAGGAAGAGAACCUCCGGGGGCAGGGAGGUUCGACUCGAGCGAAGCGAGAGAACGUUGCGCCAGCAACGGCCCGCAGGGCGAGCCACGAAGUGGCGAGUAAUCCUCUAUCACCGACCA
RNAcentral lists this small RNA (134 nucleotides) under Escherichia coli. RNAcentral describes it as "RtT sRNA". It matches the Rfam family "RtT RNA". Rfam says of the family: This family represents a bacterial cis-regulatory element known as RtT RNA. The record is from RNAcentral. Lineage: Bacteria; Pseudomonadati; Pseudomonadota; Gammaproteobacteria; Enterobacterales; Enterobacteriaceae. RNAcentral also lists the same sequence under 13 other names.